UGGGGAAUUUUGGACAAUGGGGGAAACCCUGAUGCAGCCAUCCCGCGUGUGCGAUGAAGGCCUUCGGGUUGUAAAGCACUUUUGGCAGGAAAGAAACGUCAUGGGUUAAUACCCCGUGAAACUGACGGUACCUGCAGAAUAAGCACCGGCUAACUACGUGCCAGCAGCCGCGGUAAUACGUAGGGUGCAAGCGUUAAUCGGAAUUACUGGGCGUAAGGCGUGCGCAGGCGGUUCGGAAAGAAAGAUGUGAAAUCCCAGAGCUCAACUUUGGAACUGCAUUUUUAACUACCGGGCUAGAGUGUGUCAGAGGGAGGUGGAAUUCCGCGUGUAGCAGUGAAAUGCGUAGAGAUGCGGAGGAACACCGAUGGCGAAGGCAGCCUCCUGGGAUAACACUGACGCUCAUGCACGAAAGCGUGGGGAGCAAACAGG
Molecule: ribosomal RNA, 429 nt
Filed under: Acidobacteriota bacterium
Lineage: Bacteria; Pseudomonadati; Acidobacteriota
Description: Acidobacteria bacterium partial 16S ribosomal RNA
Rfam family: Bacterial small subunit ribosomal RNA
Source: RNAcentral